Molecule: ribosomal RNA, 413 nt
Filed under: uncultured archaeon
Lineage: Archaea
Description: bacterial SSU rRNA
Rfam family: Archaeal small subunit ribosomal RNA
Source: RNAcentral
CUUGCUGCCUGCGGGUCGGGGUUUAUGGGGCUAGGGACCGGGAGAAGUGAGGAGUAUUUCUGGGGUAAGGGGAAAAUCUUAUAAUCCCGUAAGGACUACCUGGGGCGAAGGCGUCUCACUAGAACGGGUCCGACGGUGAGGGACGAAAGCUGAGGGAUCAAACGGGAUUAGAUACCCCGGUAGUCUCAGCUGUAAACUCUGCCUGUUGGGUGUUGCACAUUGUUCGACGGUGUGCAGUGCCGAAGCGAAGGCAUUAAACAGGCCGCCUGGGGAGUACGGUCGCAAGGCUGAAACUUAAAGGAAUAGGCGGGGGAGCACAACAAGGGGUGAAGCUUGCGGUUCAAUUGGAUUCGACGCCGUGAAUCUCACCAGGGUCGACAGCAUAAUGAAGGUCAACCUGAAGGGUUUACCUA